GAUGAACGCUGGCGGCGUGCCUAAUACAUGCAAGUCGAGCGAACGGACGAGAAGCUUGCUUCUCUGAUGUUAGCGGCGGACGGGUGAGUAACACGUGGAUAACCUACCUAUAAGACUGGGAUAACUUCGGGAAACCGUAGCUAAUACCGGAUAAUAUUUUGAACCGCAUGGUUCAAAAGUGAAAGACGGUCUUUCUGUCACUUAUAGAUGGAUCCGCGCUGCAUUAGCUAGUUGGUAAGGUAACGGCUUACCAAGGCAACGAUGCAUAGCCGACCUGAGAGGGUGAUCGGCCACACUGGAACUGAGACACGGUCCCGACUCCUACGGGAGGCAGCAGUAGGGAAUCUUCCGCAAUGGGCGAAAGCCUGACGGAGCAACGCCGCGUGAGUGAUGAAGGUCUUCGGAUCGUAAAACUCUGUUAUUAGGGAAGAACAUAUGUGUAAGUAACUGUGCACAUCUUGACGGUACCUAAUCAGAAAGCCACGGCUAACUACGUG
RNAcentral lists this ribosomal RNA (497 nucleotides) under uncultured bacterium. RNAcentral's name for it is "partial 16S ribosomal RNA". It matches the Rfam family "Bacterial small subunit ribosomal RNA", at positions 28 to 507 of the family's 1533-position model. The record is from RNAcentral.